UACGAAGGGUGCUAGCGUUAUUCGGAAUGAUUGGGCGUAAAGGGUGCGUAGGCUGUAUAUUAAGUCAACUGUUAAAUUCCUCGGCUUAACCGAGGCUCAGCGGUUGAUACUGAUAUGCUUGAGGGUGGAAGAGAGAAGUGGAAUUCUCGGAGUAGCGGUAAAAUGCGUAGAUCUCGAGAGGAACACCGAUGGCGAAGGCAGCUUCUUGGUCCACAUCUGACGCUGAGGCACGAAAGCGUGGGGAGCAAACAGG
This 253-nucleotide ribosomal RNA is filed under the name uncultured bacterium. RNAcentral describes it as "partial 16S ribosomal RNA". It matches the Rfam family "Bacterial small subunit ribosomal RNA", at positions 524 to 776 of the family's 1533-position model. The record is from RNAcentral.